This 487-nucleotide ribosomal RNA is filed under the name uncultured bacterium. RNAcentral's name for it is "bacterial SSU rRNA". It matches the Rfam family "Bacterial small subunit ribosomal RNA", at positions 28 to 523 of the family's 1533-position model. The record is from RNAcentral.
GACGAACGCUGGCGGCGUGCUUAACACAUGCAAGUCGAACGGUGACGAGGAGCUUGCUCCUCUGAUCAGUGGCGAACGGGUGAGUAACACGUGAGCAACCUGCCCCAGACUCUGGGAUAACAGUUGGAAACAGCUGCUAAUACCGGAUACGAGACGGAGAGGCAUCUCUACCGUCUGGAAAGUUUUUCGGUCUGGGAUGGACUCGCGGCCUAUCAGCUAGUUGGUGAGGUAAUGGCUCACCAAGGCGACGACGGGUAGCCGGCCUGAGAGGGCGACCGGCCACACUGGGACUGAGACACGGCCCAGACUCCUACGGGAGGCAGCAGUGGGGAAUAUUGCACAAUGGGCGAAAGCCUGAUGCAGCGACGCCGCGUGAGGGAUGAAGGCCUUCGGGUUGUAAACCGUCUUUCUAGCAGGGAAGAAGCGAAAGUAGACGGUACCUGCAGAAGAAGACACCGGCUAACUACGUAGCCAGCAGCCGCGGUAA